RNAcentral lists this ribosomal RNA (253 nucleotides) under uncultured bacterium. Its description in RNAcentral is "partial 16S ribosomal RNA". It matches the Rfam family "Bacterial small subunit ribosomal RNA", at positions 524 to 776 of the family's 1533-position model. The record is from RNAcentral.
UACGUAGGGUGCAAGCGUUAAUCGGAAUUACUGGGCGUAAAGCGUGCGCAGGCGGUUAUAUAAGACAGAUGUGAAAUCCCCGGGCUCAACCUGGGACCUGCAUUUGUGACUGUAUAGCUAGAGUACGGUAGAGGGGGAUGGAAUUCCGCGUGUAGCAGUGAAAUGCGUAGAUAUGCGGAGGAACACCGAUGGCGAGGGCAAUCCCCUGGGCCUGCACUGACGCUCAUGCACGAAAGCGUGGGGAGCAAACAGG